CAUAAUAUUACUAUUACAAUACGGUCAAAUGCCUUUAUUUUUCCCUCAUACAAAAUCGACCCAGCCUAGCGAACACGUACAACAAACGUACCCGGGUUGUGAAUUAAAGGCAUAAAUGCUAAAUUCUUGCCUAAAUAUAUCAAGUGUCGUGUUCUGCGAAAGGUAGGCAAUGCUUUGUACGAUUUAGAGGACUUGAAUGGCAAACCGAUCGGGAAGUUCCAUGCAUACGACAUCCGGCUGUGACACUGUCAUCUGUCACGAAGAGCGAUCCGAAGUAAAGUGUUUUUUUUUUUUUAAUUUAAUAAUCACGUUUUUUCUCAAACUAAACUUAGCAAUAGGGUAAAACCUUGACCGCCCGCAGACUGCCCGGGGUCCAACUUUGCAUGGCUUUUCCUCGAAGCUGAGUCAUGUUGGGCUGUAACUCGUUUCUGUAACUCUUCCCUACUGAUCAUUUCUCUGCUGGUAGAGAAUAUACGUCAUUCAUUACUAUUCCUUAGCAGUAGAGAACAAGGCGGCAAGUUCAUAUAUGAAUUCGCCCAGGUAGAGAAUCGGAACAGAAACGAGCUACUGGACUAGCGGAGAGGCCGUACUGUGAAUACGGACUAAGUUCGGCAAUUGGGGGGUGGCUAACUCUAGCCAACGAAUGUGAAUAGAGUAUCUUUUUUUCUCUUACUGUCCUUUUCACUGGGCGCUUUGGCGGUCGGGGACAAACCGCCUAGUACCCUCCCCGAGCAUCUAUAGUCUUAGGACGUUCACGCGCGCUCCCACCGGGAGUCGCGAACUGCCUGACAAUCCCAUUAGGAUUGUCUUUUAGGAGUUUUGACGAGUUCUCCUUUAAGAAAAUGUCUCUUGGGCCGCAAAGCCAUAAUGAAUAGGAAACAAAAUAAAUAUAUACACGGUUUUCCCAGCCUGCCCUGUGUUCUUCUUAGCGGUGUUGAAACAGUGGGGGCAGGGUGUUAAGACCGACUAAGUUCGGCACUUUGGGGGGUAGGCUUCUCUGGCCUAAUACAAUAGAGGACACGCAACACCGGACUUGAAUUUUUUUCCCAGAGUUACUCGGUAUAAUUCUGACUCAAGCAUUUCGAAAAAACGCUAACGCAACCCAUACUUACAGCUCAAUUCUUAGCUGAUAUCACAAUAGAGAGCCCACUCAACUGUGAGGUUUUUCUUGUGAUUUCAUUAUUGAAAAACUCUCUCAAGAAAAAAGCUUUUAAACUUUCCCACUGUGAGGUGAAUAUUUGUUUGCUGAUGACAGGUAUCAAACUCACAAAAUAAAAAUACAAAAAAUGGAGCAAACAAACAAAAAGUAAGUAAUUUUUAAAUUUAAAUAUAUAUUUACGAGUUUAUUUCUCUUGAUCAUUUCAAUUUUUAUGUACAGCAGAUACGAAAGGACAACGCAGGAGCAGCUUCAAUAUUUUGUAAGUUUCUGCAAGCAGCAUCCCGAACUGCAAGCAGGGAAAAAUAAGCCACAUUCGCCGCGCGCUGUGCAGGACUUGUGGCAGAAACUGGCGGAGCACCUGAACGCGAUGGGAGGACCAACAAGGGCAGCGUCGAAGUGGAAAGAGAGUUUAUCACACUAGAAGUGCCAGAUUCGCUCUCGUGCUCGCAAAGCAAAAGCCCAAUUGCAAAGCACUGGGGCGGGCCUCGAACCCCCGAUAUAACGGAGUUUGAUCAUUAGGCAAUUGAAACAUUUGGUACAGCAGCAGUGGAUGGAUUGCCUGAACUGGGAAAUAUGGGUUUUGAGGAAAGCUCAAGUUUGCAAGAUGUGGUGGUGGUUAGUGGCGCUGAGGACAACAUUGAAUUUUCCUCUGAUGUGAUAAUGACACCACUUUCCAUAAACAUAUCAAAUGAGAAUUCAAAUUUGUCCUCAGGAUCGCAGACCCACCUCACUCCGGUAUCUCAGCCCGAAAAUACACGAAAAAUAACAUUGGAGGCGGUGUAUAAUGUUGCUAUGGAGGACAUGAGGGCACGUCAACAGCGGAAUGGGCUUGCAAUUGCUCAGCAGGGGGCAUUGACUAUAGCAAUUACAAAAUUAACACAAACCUUAGAUAGGUUUUGUGAAAAUUUGAAUAAAACGUAAACGUAAAAACAAUUCUGUCAACUUAUGUAUACGUUUUAGAAUUAUUCUUGUUUAGUUGUUAAUAAUUUCUCUAAAAUAAAAACAUCAUUAAUUUAAAGAUGUAGAAAGAACAAUUUUUUGUGUAUUGGCUGUAAAUUUUACAUUUGCAGGUAUAAAUACAUAAGUCGGAUUUGAAAUUUUUUACUCAUCAAAUGAGUUCUUACCUGCGAAGUUGUCUAUAUCCCCGAAUCGUGGCAGGAUCCUGGAAACUUAGCGUUUACGGAUGUGAAAAUCAAACGAUGGUUGCACACCUGAAAAGGGAAAGAGUUUUAUGUUAGUAUUUAAUGUACCCUAAAUUCACAUAUACACAUGAAUGUAUGUAUUCAAAUGCAAUAAUUACUGCUCCGACAUUUAUGCUGUAAUAUCCUUUUCUGUUCAUGU
RNAcentral lists this unclassified non-coding RNA (2500 nucleotides) under Rhagoletis pomonella (apple maggot). Its description in RNAcentral is "uncharacterized LOC118742281, transcript variant X1". Lineage: Eukaryota; Metazoa; Arthropoda; Insecta; Diptera; Tephritidae. The record is from RNAcentral.